RNAcentral lists this ribosomal RNA (498 nucleotides) under uncultured bacterium. RNAcentral's name for it is "partial 16S ribosomal RNA". It matches the Rfam family "Bacterial small subunit ribosomal RNA", at positions 28 to 507 of the family's 1533-position model. The record is from RNAcentral.
GACGAACGCUGGCGGCGUGCUUAAUACAUGCAAGUCGAACGAGAGCGACCGGUGCUUGCACUGUUCAAUCUAGUGGCGAACGGGAGAGUAACACGUGGGUAACCUGCUCAUCUGUGGGGGAUAACAUCCGGAAACGGACGCUAAAACCGCAUAGGUCCUCGAGCCGCAUGGCUGGAUGGGGAAAAGAGGCGCAAGCUUCUGCUGAUGGAUGUACCCGCGGUGCAUUAGCUAGUUUGUCAGGUAACGGCUCACCAAGGCGGGUAUGCAUAGCCGCCGUGAGUGACUGAUCGCCCACAUUGGAACGGCAACAGGGCCCAAGCUCCUGCGGGAGGCAGCAGAAGGGUAUGUUACGCAAUGGUCGAGAAUAUGACAGAGCAGCGCCACGUCAGUGGCGACAGUUUUGGGAGCGUAAAACUCUGCUGUUGGAGAAGAACAAGUGCUAGAGUAGCUGUACGGGGAUUGACGGUAACUAGCAAGAAAGCAACGGCUAACUACGUG